Molecule: ribosomal RNA, 332 nt
Filed under: uncultured Nannocystis sp.
Lineage: Bacteria; Pseudomonadati; Myxococcota; Nannocystales; Nannocystaceae
Description: bacterial SSU rRNA
Rfam family: Bacterial small subunit ribosomal RNA
Source: RNAcentral
CACGUAGGCGGCGAAGCAAGUUGGGUGUGAAAGCCCUGGGCUCAACCCAGGAAGUGCAUUCAAAACUGCUUCGCUUGAAUCUCGGAGGGGGUCAGAGAAUUCCCGGUGUAGAGGUGAAAUUCGUAGAUAUCGGGAGGAAUACCAGUGGCGAAGGCGCUGACCUGGACGAAGAUUGACGCUGAGGUGCGAAAGCGCGGGGAGCAAACAGGAUUAGAUACCCUGGUAGUCCGCGCUGUAAACGAUGAGUGCUAGACGGUGGAGGUAUUGACCCCUUCGCUGCCGAAGCUAACGCGUUAAGCACUCCGCCUGGGGAGUACGGUCGCAAGACUAAA